CCUACGGGUGGCAGCAGUGGGGAAUAUUGCACAAUGGGCGCAAGCCUGAUGCAGCCAUGCCGCGUGUGUGAAGAAGGCCUUCGGGUUGUAAAGCACUUUCAGCGGGGAGGAAGGCGGUGAGGUUAAUAACCUCAUCGGUUGACGUUACCCGCAGAAGAAGCACCGGCUAACUCCGUGCCAGCAGCCGCGGUAAUACGGAGGGUGCAAGCGUUAAUCGGAAUUACUGGGCGUAAAGCGCACGCAGGCGGUCUGUCAAGUCGGAUGUGAAAUCCCCGGGCUCAACCUGGGAACUGCAUUCGAAACUGGCAGGCUAGAGUCUUGUAGAGGGGGGUAGAAUUCCAGGUGUAGCGGUGAAAUGCGUAGAGAUCUGGAGGAAUACCGGUGGCGAAGGCGGCCCCCUGGACAAAGACUGACGCUCAGGUGCGAAAGCGUGAGGAGCAAACAGGAUUAGAUACCCGAGUAGUC
This 465-nucleotide ribosomal RNA is filed under the name uncultured Klebsiella sp. Its description in RNAcentral is "bacterial SSU rRNA". It matches the Rfam family "Bacterial small subunit ribosomal RNA", at positions 338 to 795 of the family's 1533-position model. Lineage: Bacteria; Pseudomonadati; Pseudomonadota; Gammaproteobacteria; Enterobacterales; Enterobacteriaceae. The record is from RNAcentral.